Molecule: ribosomal RNA, 464 nt
Filed under: uncultured bacterium
Lineage: Bacteria
Description: bacterial SSU rRNA
Rfam family: Bacterial small subunit ribosomal RNA
Source: RNAcentral
CCCAGACUCCUACGGGAGGCAGCAGUGAGGAAUAUUGGUCAAUGGCCGGAAGGCUGAACCAGCCAAGCCGCGUGAAGGACGAAGGUGCCAAGCAUUGUAAACUUCUUUUGUCAAGGGACAAAAUCAGGCUCGAGAGCCUGACCGAGGGUACUUGAAGAAAAAGCAUCGGCUAACUCCGUGCCAGCAGCCGCGGUAAUACGGAGGAUGCGAGCGUUAUCCGGAUUUAUUGGGUUUAAAGGGUCCGUAGGCGGGCUGUAAACUGGGGGAAAAAGGCCGGGGGCCAAACCCCGGCGAGCCGUUGAAACUGGCUGUCUUGAGAUGUCGAGAGGUAUACGGAAUGCGCAGUGUAGCGGUGAAAUGCUUAGAUAUCACGAAGAACCCCGAUUGCGAAGGCAGCCUGCCGCAGCGUUACUGACGCUGAAGCUCGAAAGCGCGGGUAUCGAACAGGAUUAGAUACCCGAGUA